UACUUGGGAGGCUGAGGCUAGAAGAUUGCUUGAGCCUGGGAGGUCAAGGCUGCAGUGAGUCGUGAUCACA
Molecule: microRNA precursor, 70 nt
Organism: Aotus nancymaae (Ma's night monkey)
Lineage: Eukaryota; Metazoa; Chordata; Mammalia; Primates; Aotidae
Source: Ensembl